Molecule: long non-coding RNA, 285 nt
Organism: Aricia agestis (brown argus)
Lineage: Eukaryota; Metazoa; Arthropoda; Insecta; Lepidoptera; Lycaenidae
Exons: 3
Source: RefSeq, a predicted model, not a curated record
UUUCACAGAUUAAGGCUCCAGUACACAAUGGCCUGUGACGGGCCACGCUUCGCAAUGCACAACUGUAGGCCACGAUCACUUGGUGUUCACACAAUGGCACAUGGCUCAUUGCUGCCUGGCAAACCACUUGCGAUGGAUGCAAAAGUAAUUACUACCGGUCAACGGUCGAUUACGUUUACGAACUAAACAAUGGCCGAUUGUGUGAACACUACAGGCCACGCUACGCCACGAUUUCUUUGAAGUGUGCCCAAAAAACCGACAACUCCCUGACUGCGCGCCACGGUU